This 33-nucleotide ribosomal RNA is filed under the name Laccaria pumila. RNAcentral describes it as "partial 28S ribosomal RNA". The record is from RNAcentral. Lineage: Eukaryota; Fungi; Basidiomycota; Agaricomycetes; Agaricales; Hydnangiaceae.
CCAUUGACUUGGACAAUUUUUGACAAUUUGACC